AUGCCCCUGUGGGAAGCUGGAAGGAUCCAAAAAAGAUGGAGGUCUGUGAAAAUAAUAAAUCUAACUGAGCUCAAGUUUAGUUUCAUGAAACAACUGGUUUGCUUAGCUGCCCUGUGCACUGUGAUAAUUUGGGAGAAAAAUACAAAGAUGACGAACCCAGUACAUUGGAUUUGUUUUAGGAGUGCCACUACAGCAGCAAGAAAUGCUACGCACCGAGCUGCAAUUGCAAGUCAACAUUCAAAGAUUUUUAAUGGUAUCACAAUGCCUACCAUUUUCUAUAGAUCCAGUAGUACAAUAAUCAAUAAUUGUAAAGUCAGCCUAUAA
Molecule: ribosomal RNA, 324 nt
Filed under: Triticum aestivum (bread wheat)
Lineage: Eukaryota; Viridiplantae; Streptophyta; Magnoliopsida; Poales; Poaceae
Description: partial small subunit ribosomal RNA
Source: RNAcentral